Molecule: long non-coding RNA, 2337 nt
Filed under: Citrus sinensis (sweet orange)
Lineage: Eukaryota; Viridiplantae; Streptophyta; Magnoliopsida; Sapindales; Rutaceae
Description: long non-coding RNA (CSIN_LNC000470)
Source: RNAcentral
UCACGGAUGCCCAGUUUUCUCCUUAUGUUGGUGGAAUGGCCUUCUCUCCUACUUCAUCACCCGGAUACAGCCCAUCAUCACCAGGCUACAGUCCGUCAUCUCCUGGAUACAGUCCCACGUCACCUGGAUACAGCCCAACUUCGCCUGGAUACAGUCCCACCUCGCCUGGAUAUAGCCCUACCUCACCAACUUAUAGUCCAAGUUCUCCUGGUUAUAGUCCAACCAGUCCUGCCUAUUCUCCUACCAGUCCAUCGUACUCACCUACUUCACCAAGCUAUAGCCCAACCUCCCCAAGUUACAGCCCAACAUCCCCAAGCUACAGCCCGACCUCUCCAAGUUACAGCCCCACUUCUCCCAGUUACAGUCCAACUUCACCAAGCUAUAGCCCCACCUCACCGGCAUAUAGCCCCACCUCACCUGCAUAUAGCCCCACCUCACCUGCAUACAGCCCCACUUCACCAUCGUACAGCCCAACCUCUCCUUCCUACAGCCCAACAUCACCUUCGUACAGCCCUACCUCACCGUCAUACAGCCCCACUUCUCCAUCGUACAGCCCCACUUCACCAGCCUAUAGCCCCACUUCUCCUGGUUAUAGUCCAACUUCACCAAGUUAUAGCCCAACUUCACCAACCUAUAGUCCUACAUCCCCAAGCUACAAUCCUCAGUCUGCCAAAUACAGUCCGUCGCUGGCCUACUCACCAAGUAGUCCAAGAUUAUCUCCUGCCAGUCCGUACAGCCCUACAUCUCCAAAUUACAGGUAAGCCAUAGUGCGAUAUGUGGUCAAGUCUAAUGUUUGUGUUAAAAGCUGUAUCCAAUUUAUUAGGUCUUGUUUUUGAUAGAAUUCUAUAUACUGAAAUAUCUGUUGAACCUAAGACUUGCUGUAGCUGGGGAUUGGACUUGGAUGGGUUUAAAUUAUUAAUGAUUUUAUCUCUGUUGUUUUUAACAUUAUUAUAUCUGGAUGAUUAUGUUGAUGUAUCUUGUAAGCAACUUUUCUUUUUACGCAGUCCAACAUCAUCUUCGUAUUCACCGACAUCUCCCUCUAUGAUACUGGACCAAUGAUGAGAUGUUCAUUUGAAGAAACGGUUGACAUUCUUCUUGAUGCUGCAGUCUUUGCAGAAUCAGAUUAUUUGAGGGGGGUCACUGAGAAUAUAAUGUUAGGUCAGCUUGCGCCUAUUGGGACAGGAGACUGUUCAUUGUAUCUCAAUGAUGAGAUGCUGAAAAAUGCCAUCGAACUUCAGCUUCCUAGUUAUAUGGAAGGUCUGGAGUUUGGCAUGACACCUGCUCGUUCUCCGGUGUCUGGGACUCCUUAUCAUGAUGGCAUGAUGUCUCCAGGUUACUUGUUUAGCCCAAAUCUCCGUCUGUCCCCGGUCACGGAUGCCCAGUUUUCUCCUUAUGUUGGUGGAAUGGCCUUCUCUCCUACUUCAUCACCCGGAUACAGCCCAUCAUCACCAGGCUACAGUCCGUCAUCUCCUGGAUACAGUCCCACGUCACCUGGAUACAGCCCAACUUCGCCUGGAUACAGUCCCACCUCGCCUGGAUAUAGCCCUACCUCACCAACUUAUAGUCCAAGUUCUCCUGGUUAUAGUCCAACCAGUCCUGCCUAUUCUCCUACCAGUCCAUCGUACUCACCUACUUCACCAAGCUAUAGCCCAACCUCCCCAAGUUACAGCCCAACAUCCCCAAGCUACAGCCCGACCUCUCCAAGUUACAGCCCCACUUCUCCCAGUUACAGUCCAACUUCACCAAGCUAUAGCCCCACCUCACCGGCAUAUAGCCCCACCUCACCUGCAUAUAGCCCCACCUCACCUGCAUACAGCCCCACUUCACCAUCGUACAGCCCAACCUCUCCUUCCUACAGCCCAACAUCACCUUCGUACAGCCCUACCUCACCGUCAUACAGCCCCACUUCUCCAUCGUACAGCCCCACUUCACCAGCCUAUAGCCCCACUUCUCCUGGUUAUAGUCCAACUUCACCAAGUUAUAGCCCAACUUCACCAACCUAUAGUCCUACAUCCCCAAGCUACAAUCCUCAGUCUGCCAAAUACAGUCCGUCGCUGGCCUACUCACCAAGUAGUCCAAGAUUAUCUCCUGCCAGUCCGUACAGCCCUACAUCUCCAAAUUACAGGUAAGCCAUAGUGCGAUAUGUGGUCAAGUCUAAUGUUUGUGUUAAAAGCUGUAUCCAAUUUAUUAGGUCUUGUUUUUGAUAGAAUUCUAUAUACUGAAAUAUCUGUUGAACCUAAGACUUGCUGUAGCUGGGGAUUGGACUUGGAUGGGUUUAAAUUAUUAAUGAUUUUAUCUCUGUUGUUUUUAACAUUAUUAUAUCUGGAUGAUUAUGUU